This 30-nucleotide small RNA is filed under the name Bombyx mori (domestic silkworm). RNAcentral's name for it is "ovarian small RNA-8594". The record is from RNAcentral. Lineage: Eukaryota; Metazoa; Arthropoda; Insecta; Lepidoptera; Bombycidae.
UGCGUCAAGUGCUUAGGCGAUCACGCCACG